ACCAAAACCUGGGUUGAAUCUCACAUUGUAAGUCUUGGUCAAUCCUGUACUCCCCAGAGGAAGGAAUACUUUCUGAUUUAAAAGGUUCAAAUGAAUAAUAUUUACGAUACCACAGUAGUUAUACAUAAAUGAUGGCUGUAGCCUACACAAAUGAUCUUGUGGCAGAGUGAGUACGCUCCUCCCCUGUAUUUAGAAGACAGCCUAUCAGAGCAGAGUGCUGCGUAUAUAAAAGCCGCUUGUUGUGCUACCCGGGAUGCGUCAUCGCUAGCUCCGCCCCUUGGUGUGUGUGGGUUUCCGCAUGGAAAAGGUAUGGUUUGGUGGCAGUUUGUCUGGUGUUAAAUUUUAGUUAGUGUAUAUCAAUUAAUUGAAUUCACUCUUGUAGCUGGAAUAGCUUCUGGUUUGCGGUUUUGCAGUGGUGCGCAGGCUGUCAUUGAUCCCCGGGUAAGCCCAGUUUGAUAAACGGUUUAUAUAAAACAAUUACAUCUGUUUAAAUCGCAUGUUUUUAUUUCAGCUGGGUUGAGUCCACUUUCCGUGUGAAUUGUCAAACAUUAUGCUGUGAGCAAUCAUACAACUUAGGUUAUUUUGACGAAGAUUUGGGCCCUGUAUGAGAAGGCUAGCUGUUAUGAUAUCCUGGUGGUGGUAUUUGGAGCACGAGGUGUGGACUGCCGUCUGAUCACUUACUCCACUGGUGUGUGUGUGUGUGUGUGUGUUUGUGCGCGUGUGGUUUAACAUUCACUUUACAGCUAGCCUAGUCUGCUUGUAUGUUUAGGUCCCUGUUUGACUUGUUGUGGUUCUAUUUUUGUUAUUUUGGUCGUAAAUGUUUGUUUUAUUUGGAUUUAAUAAACAACCAUGUUUUUA
Molecule: long non-coding RNA, 858 nt
Organism: Puntigrus tetrazona (Sumatra barb)
Lineage: Eukaryota; Metazoa; Chordata; Actinopteri; Cypriniformes; Cyprinidae
Exons: 2
Source: RefSeq, a predicted model, not a curated record